UAAAUAAAAUAAAUUUUUCUCAUAUAUAUUCGUAAUAUGGACGAACGUUUCUACGACUUACCGUAAAUAGGUCACUAUGAGGAAAGACAAAUA
This 93-nucleotide non-coding RNA is filed under the name uncultured Cetobacterium sp. RNAcentral describes it as "Purine riboswitch". It matches the Rfam family "Purine riboswitch aptamer". Rfam says of the family: Riboswitches are metabolite binding domains within certain messenger RNAs that serve as precision sensors for their corresponding targets. Allosteric rearrangement of mRNA structure is mediated by ligand binding, and this results in modulation of gene expression. Lineage: Bacteria; Fusobacteriati; Fusobacteriota; Fusobacteriia; Fusobacteriales; Fusobacteriaceae. The record is from RNAcentral.